RNAcentral lists this long non-coding RNA (528 nucleotides) under Physcomitrium patens. Its description in RNAcentral is "long non-coding RNA (PPAT_LNC010691)". Lineage: Eukaryota; Viridiplantae; Streptophyta; Bryopsida; Funariales; Funariaceae. The record is from RNAcentral.
AUACUUAAUGAAGUAGAAUUUGCCAUCUCUAAAGUCUUUAGUAAUAUUAUUUUUAUCUAAUGUCUUUAUAAAGCAUCUAUUCUUAUCAAAUUACAUAUUACAACCAUGUGAAAUUAAUUUAUUCAUUAAAAGGAGAUUUUAUUUUAUUUUUGAUACAUACAAGAUGUUCUUCAAUGUGAUCUUCUUAGUUUGUCCUCUCAUAACAAUUGCUAUUGCAAUGGAGUCCAUUUUAAUGUCUUGUACUAUGCCAUUGUCUUCAAUAAUAAUAUUUCUUGCCAAAAUUUCUUUAUAAGUGUCAAAUAAAUACUUGUAUAGAAUCAUAUACUUAGUAGCACCUAAAUCAACAAUCCACUUAGAUAUGGCAACUAUGGAAGUGCCUUCAUUUUCCAUGAAUGAAAAAUCAUCUCUUUUAAAUUGUUCAUAUAUAUUAUUGGCACAUUCUCUAUUUAAUUUUUUUGCCUUAUAAUAAUUUUGUACAAAGUGAUUGAUUUUUUCACAAAUGAAGUAAGUUUUUUCAUUACCACGUUG